This 526-nucleotide ribosomal RNA is filed under the name uncultured bacterium. RNAcentral describes it as "bacterial SSU rRNA". It matches the Rfam family "Bacterial small subunit ribosomal RNA", at positions 984 to 1509 of the family's 1533-position model. The record is from RNAcentral.
ACAUCCAGAGAAUUUAGCAGNGAUGCUUUAGUGCCUUCGGGAACUCUGAGACAGGUGCUGCAUGGCUGUCGUCAGCUCGUGUUGUGAAAUGUUGGGUUAAGUCCCGNAACGAGCGCAACCCUUAUCCUUUGUUGCCAGCACGUAAUGGUGGGAACUCAAAGGAGACUGCCGGUGAUAAACCGGAGGAAGGUGGGGAUGACGUCAAGUCAUCAUGGCCCUUACGAGUAGGGCUACACACGUGCUACAAUGGCGCAUACAAAGAGAAGCGACCUCGCGAGAGCAAGCGGACCUCAUAAAGUGCGUCGUAGUCCGGAUUGGAGUCUGCAACUCGACUCCAUGAAGUCGGAAUCGCUAGUAAUCGUAAAUCAGAAUGUUACGGUGAAUACGUUCCCGGGCCUUGUACACACCGCCCGUCACACCAUGGGAGUGGGUUGCAAAAGAAGUAGAUAGCUUAACCUUCGGGAGGGCGUUUACCACUUUGUGAUUCAUGACUGGGGUGAAGUCGUAACAAGGUAAGCGUAGUGCU